Molecule: long non-coding RNA, 582 nt
Filed under: Physcomitrium patens
Lineage: Eukaryota; Viridiplantae; Streptophyta; Bryopsida; Funariales; Funariaceae
Description: long non-coding RNA (PPAT_LNC007910)
Source: RNAcentral
UAGAUAAAUCUCAAUCUAAUCUUAAUUUAAUCCUAGUUAAAAUCCUAUUCGACUUCAUUCAAACUUUAGGCCAAAAAUUAAUUAAAUCUUAAACUCUAAAUAAAUUCUAAUCAAAUCCUAAAUUGAAUCUAAUCAAAUUCUAAUCCUAAAUAAAAUCCUAAACCUUAAAUCAAAUCCUAAUCAAAUCUUAAAUCCUAAAUCAAAUCUUAAUCAAAAUCUAAAUCUUAAACCAAAUUUUAAAUUUUAAAUCAAAUCCUAAUCAAAUCUCAAUUCUAAUCAAAUCCUAAUCAAAUCCUAAAUCCUAAAUCAAACCCUAAUCAAUCCCAAGUAAUUCUUGCAACAGAUUUGAACCUCAAUAAUUAAUGAAUGAACCAUUGAUUUUAAUUCAAAAUUUGCAUUUUUCUUAAAAAAGUUGAUAAUAAGCACUAAAAAAAAUAAAAAGAGUCAAAAUUACCAAAUAGAUGAUAACUUCAAAAACAUGCUUAAGUAUUAGUUGACUUCCUUCUUUGACCUUGAUGCUAAUCUUUUAGAGCCAAUAUCUCUCUUUUUCACCAUUCAAUUGAUCUCAAAAUUUUCAUAUAU